GCUACAGGCUUAACACAUGCAAGUCGAGGGGCAUCAGGAAGAAAGCUUGCUUUCUUUGCUGGCGACCGGCGCACGGGUGAGUAACACGUAUCCAACCUGCCCUUUACUCGGGGAUAGCCUUUCGAAAGAAAGAUUAAUACCCGAUGGCAUAAUGAUUCCGCAUGGUUUCAUUAUUAAAGGAUUCCGGUAAAGGAUGGGGAUGCGUUCCAUUAGGUUGUUGGUGAGGUAACGGCUCACCAAGCCUUCGAUGGAUAGGGGUUCUGAGAGGAAGGUCCCCCACAUUGGAACUGAGACACGGUCCAAACUCCUACGGGAGGCAGCAGUGAGGAAUAUUGGUCAAUGGGCGCUAGCCUGAACCAGCCAAGUAGCGUGAAGGAUGAAGGCUCUAUGGGUCGUAAACUUCUUUUAUAUAAGAAUAAAGUGCAGUAUGUAUACUGUUUUGUAUGUAUUAUAUGAAUAAGGAUCGGCUAACUCCGUGCCAGCAGCCGCGGUAAUACGGAGGAUCCGAGCGUUAUCCGGAUUUAUUGGGUUUAAAGGGAGCGUAGGUGGACUGGUAAGUCAGUUGUGAAAGUUUGCGGCUCAACCGUAAAAUUGCAGUUGAUACUGUCAGUCUUGAGUACAGUAGAGGUGGGCGGAAUUCGUGGUGUAGCGGUGAAAUGCUUAGAUAUCACGAAGAACUCCGAUUGCGAAGGCAGCUCACUGGACUGCAACUGACACUGAUGCUCGAAAGUGUGGGUAUCAAACAGGAUUAGAUACCCUGGUAGUCCACACAGUAAACGAUGAAUACUCGCUGUUUGCGAUAUACAGUAAGCGGCCAAGCGAAAGCAUUAAGUAUUCCACCUGGGGAGUACGCCGGCAACGGUGAAACUCAAAGGAAUUGACGGGGGCCCGCACAAGCGGAGGAACAUGUGGUUUAAUUCGAUGAUACGCGAGGAACCUUACCCGGGCUUAAAUUGCAGUGGAAUGAUGUGGAAACAUGUCAGUGAGCAAUCACCGCUGUGAAGGUGCUGCAUGGUUGUCGUCAGCUCGUGCCGUGAGGUGUCGGCUUAAGUGCCAUAACGAGCGCAACCCUUAUCUUUAGUUACUAACAGGUUAUGCUGAGGACUCUAGAGAGACUGCCGUCGUAAGAUGUGAGGAAGGUGGGGAUGACGUCAAAUCAGCACGGCCCUUACGUCCGGGGCUACACACGUGUUACAAUGGGGGGUACAGAAGGCAGCUAGCGGGUGACCGUAUGCUAAUCCCAAAAGCCUCUCUCAGUUCGGAUCGAAGUCUGCAACCCGACUUCGUGAAGCUGGAUUCGCUAGUAAUCGCGCAUCAGCCACGGCGCGGUGAAUACGUUCCCGGGCCUUGUACACACCGCCCGUCAAGCCAUGGGAGCCGGGGGUACCUGAAGUACGUAACCGCAAGGAUCGUCCUAGGGUAAAACUGGUGACUGGGGCUAAGUCGUA
Molecule: ribosomal RNA, 1448 nt
Filed under: uncultured organism
Description: SSU rRNA
Rfam family: Bacterial small subunit ribosomal RNA
Source: RNAcentral